RNAcentral lists this ribosomal RNA (915 nucleotides) under Penicillium griseofulvum. RNAcentral's name for it is "LSU rRNA". It matches the Rfam family "Eukaryotic large subunit ribosomal RNA", at positions 38 to 966 of the family's 3401-position model. The record is from RNAcentral. Lineage: Eukaryota; Fungi; Ascomycota; Eurotiomycetes; Eurotiales; Aspergillaceae.
GCAUAUCAAUAAGCGGAGGAAAAGAAACCAACAGGGAUUGCCCCCAGUAACGGCGAAGUGAAGCGGCAAGAAGCUUCAAAUUUGAAAGCUGGCUCCUUCGGGGUCCGCAUUGUAAUUUGUAGAGGAUGCUUCGGGAGCGGUCCCCAUCUAAGUGCCCUGGAACGGGACGUCAUAGAGGGUGAGAAUCCCGUAUGGGAUGGGGUGUCCGCGCCCGUGUGAAGCUCCUUCGACGAGUCGAGUUGUUUGGGAAUGCAGCUCUAAAUGGGUGGUAAAUUUCAUCUAAAGCUAAAUAUUGGCCGGAGACCGAUAGCGCACAAGUAGAGUGAUCGAAAGAUGAAAAGCACUUUGAAAAGAGAGUUAAAAAGCACGUGAAAUUGUUGAAAGGGAAGCGCUUGCGACCAGACUCGCUCGCGGGGUUCAGCCGGCAUUCGUGCCGGUGUACUUCCCCGCGGGCGGGCCAGCGUCGGUUUGGGCGGUCGGUCAAAGGCCCUCGGAAGGUAACGCCCCUAGGGGCGUCUUAUAGCCGAGGGUGCAAUGCGACCUGCCUAGACCGAGGAACGCGCUUCGGCUCGGACGCUGGCAUAAUGGUCGUAAGCGACCCGUCUUGAAACACGGACCAAGGAGUCUAACAUCUACGCGAGUGUUCGGGUGUCAAACCCGUGCGCGAAGUGAAAGCGAACGGAGGUGGGAACCCUUACGGGUGCACCAUCGACCGAUCCUGAAGUCUUCGGAUGGAUUUGAGUAAGAGCGUAGCUGUUGGGACCCGAAAGAUGGUGAACUAUGCCUGAAUAGGGCGAAGCCAGAGGAAACUCUGGUGGAGGCUCGUAGCGGUUCUGACGUGCAAAUCGAUCGUCGAAUUUGGGUAUAGGGGGCGAAAGACUAAUCGAACCAUCUGGUAGCUGGUUCCUGCCGAAG